UGCGGUGUAGAGAAGCGGUCAUCUCAACAGGGUCAUAACCUGGAAAUCGUGGGUUCAAAUCCCGCCACCGCUA
This 73-nucleotide transfer RNA is filed under the name Fidelibacterota bacterium. RNAcentral's name for it is "tRNA-Met". It matches the Rfam family "tRNA". From Rfam's summary of the family: Transfer RNA (tRNA) molecules are approximately 80 nucleotides in length. Their secondary structure includes four short double-helical elements and three loops (D, anti-codon, and T loops). RNAcentral also lists the same sequence under 1 other name. Lineage: Bacteria; Pseudomonadati; Fidelibacterota. The record is from RNAcentral.